This 497-nucleotide ribosomal RNA is filed under the name uncultured bacterium. RNAcentral's name for it is "partial 16S ribosomal RNA". It matches the Rfam family "Bacterial small subunit ribosomal RNA", at positions 30 to 523 of the family's 1533-position model. The record is from RNAcentral.
AUUGAACGCUGGCGGCAUGCUUUACACAUGCAAGUCGAACGGCAGCGCGGGGCAACCUGGCGGCGAGUGGCGAACGGGUGAGUAAUACAUCGGAACGUACCCAGAAGUGGGGGAUAACGUAGCGAAAGUUACGCUAAUACCGCAUACGUUCUACGGAAGAAAGUGGGGGAUCUUCGGACCUCAUGCUUUUGGAGCGGCCGAUGUCUGAUUAGCUAGUUGGUGAGGUAAAGGCUCACCAAGGCGACGAUCAGUAGCUGGUCUGAGAGGACGACCAGCCACACUGGGACUGAGACACGGCCCAGACUCCUACGGGAGGCAGCAGUGGGGAAUUUUGGACAAUGGGCGCAAGCCUGAUCCAGCAAUGCCGCGUGAGUGAAGAAGGCCUUCGGGUUGUAAAGCUCUUUUGUCAGGGAAGAAACGGCUGGGGCUAAUAUCCCCGGCUAAUGACGGUACCUGAAGAAUAGGCACCGGCUAACUACGUGCCAGCCGCCGAGUAA